UAGGGAAUCUUCCGCAAUGGGCGAAAGCCUGACGGAGCAACGCCGCGUGAGUGAUGAAGGUCUUCGGAUCGUAAAACUCUGUUAUUAGGGAAGAACAAAUGUGUAAGUAACUAUGCACGUCUUGACGGUACCUAAUCAGAAAGCCACGGCUAACUACGUGCCAGCAGCCGCGGUAAUACGUAGGUGGCAAGCGUUAUCCGGAAUUAUUGGGCGUAAAGCGCGCGUAGGCGGUUUUUUAAGUCUGAUGUGAAAGCCCACGGCUCAACCGUGGAGGGUCAUUGGAAACUGGAAAACUUGAGUGCAGAAGAGGAAAGUGGAAUUCCAUGUGUAGCGGUGAAAUGCGCAGAGAUAUGGAGGAACACUAGUGGCGAAGGCGACUUUCUGGUCUGUAACUGACGCUGAUGUGCGAAAGCGUGGGGAUCAAACAGG
Molecule: ribosomal RNA, 429 nt
Filed under: Actinomycetes bacterium
Lineage: Bacteria; Bacillati; Actinomycetota; Actinomycetes
Description: Actinobacteria bacterium partial 16S ribosomal RNA
Rfam family: Bacterial small subunit ribosomal RNA
Source: RNAcentral